RNAcentral lists this ribosomal RNA (491 nucleotides) under uncultured bacterium. RNAcentral's name for it is "partial 16S ribosomal RNA". It matches the Rfam family "Bacterial small subunit ribosomal RNA", at positions 29 to 506 of the family's 1533-position model. The record is from RNAcentral.
AGUGAACGCUGGCGGUAGGCCUAACACAUGCAAGUCGAACGGCAGCACAGUAAGAGCUUGCUCUUACGGGUGGCGAGUGGCGGACGGGUGAGGAAUACAUCGGAAUCUACUUUUUCGUGGGGGAUAACGUAGGGAAACUUACGCUAAUACCGCAUACGACCUACGGGUGAAAGCAGGGGAUCUUCGGACCUUGCGCGAUUGAAUGAGCCGAUGUCGGAUUAGCUAGUUGGCGGGGUAAAGGCCCACCAAGGCGACGAUCCGUAGCUGGUCUGAGAGGAUGAUCAGCCACACUGGAAAUGAGACACGGUCCAGACUCCUACGGGAGGCAGCAGUGGGGAAUAUUGGACAAUGGGCGCAAGCCUGAUCCAGCCAUACCGCGUGGGUGAAGAAGGCCUUCGGGUUGUAAAGCCCUUUUGUUGGGAAAGAAAAGCAGCAGGUUAAUACCCCGCUGUUCUGACGGUACCCAAAGAAUAAACACCGGCUAACUGCGU